UUGUUUCACUGUUUAGUUUGAAAGUUUUAAAUGUGAUUUCAAGUUUAAAACUUUGAAAUAUUGAAAUAAGAUCACUGUUGAUCUAUUGCAGCAUAUUCAUAAUUUGUACGGGCUUAGUAGAAAGUUCACGACGGAAAUGUCGAACGUCGGACAAUUUAGAAGACAAUUGUUUUUUGCUGCAAGACUGUGAGCCAUUGUAUAAUUUACUUCGACAAAAGUUAGCGUCAAAAUCAUGUACCAAAAAGGACUUUACAUAUUACAAGCAAUACUUAUGCGGACCACUUCGUAAUCGAAAUCCACCUGUAUGUUGUCCACCGGUUCUUGAAAAGCCUGACUAUACAGAGGAAGACAAUCAAAUAGUAACAGUGAUUGAAAACAAAAUGGUGCACAUCUCUCAAUCAAGUGGUGAUCGAACUGGUGCGAAUGUAAUGGUUACUACAAAAACACCAACAAGAACAGUUAUUGUAGGUGGUCCAGGCUGCCUCAGUGGCAUGUAAAUCAAACAGCACAUUGCUGAUGACGUCAUUGGCACAUAUCCAUGGUUAGGAGUGAUCAAAUACACCAAAAACAUCGAUAUUGUGCGGCAGCACAAUUGUUAAUCGACAUUUCGCUCUAACUGCGGGUCAUUGUAUCGUUGGACUUGACGUGAAGUUUAAACGAUGUGUGCCGACAUCAGUGCGAUUUGGUGAUCAUGGACAAUACAAUCCCGAAUGUUCCUUCGUAAUGAUCGCAGAAACAAAAUGUUGUACACUUACCUGCACGUUUACUUAAUUGAAACCAUAAAUUUUGAAAGAAAAAAAUGAUGUGGCAAAAUUAUGAGUACGCAGCCAAGUUAUCAAUCUUUUCUCAC
Contarinia nasturtii (swede midge) is the source of this 850-nucleotide long non-coding RNA. RefSeq lists it as uncharacterized. The transcript is spliced from 6 exons. NCBI's taxonomy places the organism in Eukaryota, Metazoa, Arthropoda, Insecta, Diptera, Cecidomyiidae. The record is from RefSeq and is a predicted model, not a curated record.